AUGUGCUUCUUCCUAUCUCUGGUUCAUCGGCCUCCCGAGACACUCUUGAGAUUCAAACUCAUGGAUGCUGACCAUGGUGAACUGCCAAUCACUACUGAAGACGGAACUACUGCUGUCACAGCCCGCUUUAUCAAGGGUGUUGACAAAAGGGCCACCAAGACUAGAGGCUGGAGCGACUUCUUCCGUCAGGCACACAUGAACAAAGGAAGCAUAUGCUUUCGCCUUCAAAUGCACUUCCAAGGGAUUGCGCCUGAUUGUUAUAGAUGCCUACCAAGACUUCUAUGUUUAUCAUCCUUUUGGAUCUUAUGUAAUCACCUGAGACCAUCCCGUGCAUUUAACUACCGGUUAUUUCCUGCUUAG
This 360-nucleotide ribosomal RNA is filed under the name Triticum aestivum (bread wheat). RNAcentral's name for it is "partial small subunit ribosomal RNA". The record is from RNAcentral. Lineage: Eukaryota; Viridiplantae; Streptophyta; Magnoliopsida; Poales; Poaceae.